CCUACGGGAGGCAGCAGUAGGGAAUCUUGCGCAAUGGGCGAAAGCCUGACGCAGCCAUGCCGCGUGAAUGAUGAAGGUCUUAGGAUUGUAAAAUUCUUUCACCGGGGACGAUAAUGACGGUACCCGGAGAAGAAGCCCCGGCUAACUUCGUGCCAGCAGCCGCGGUAAUACGAAGGGGGCUAGCGUUGCUCGGAAUUACUGGGCGUAAAGGGAGCGUAGGCGGAUAGUUUAGUCAGAGGUGAAAGCCCAGGGCUCAACCUUGGAACUGCCUUUGAUACUGGCUAUCUUGAGUAUGGGAGAGGUGAGUGGAACUCCGAGUGUAGAGGUGAAAUUCGUAGAUAUUCGGAAGAACACCAGUGGCGAAGGCGACUCACUGGCCCAUUACUGACGCUGAGGCUCGAAAGCGUGGGGAGCAAACAGGAUUAGAUACCCUGGUAGUCCACGCCGUAAACGAUGAGUGCUAGUUGUCGGUCGAUGCAUGCAUGUCGGUGGUACGCGAGCGUACGACGAUUAAGCGACUCCGCCGUCGGGGAGGUACGGUCGGCGAGAUUAAACUACAAUAGAGUAGACGCGUGAGACGUGCCGACGGACGACGACGAGGGAGGAGG
This 608-nucleotide ribosomal RNA is filed under the name uncultured bacterium. Its description in RNAcentral is "bacterial SSU rRNA". The stretch from base 1 to 525 matches the Rfam family "Bacterial small subunit ribosomal RNA", at positions 338 to 873 of the family's 1533-position model. The record is from RNAcentral.